Ribosomal RNA from Erinaceus europaeus (western European hedgehog), 109 nucleotides. NCBI's taxonomy places the organism in Eukaryota, Metazoa, Chordata, Mammalia, Eulipotyphla, Erinaceidae. The record is from Ensembl.
GUCUAUGGCCAUACCACCCUGAACAUACCAGAACUCGUCUGAUCUUGGAAGCUAAGCAGGGUCGGGCCUGGUUGAUACUUGAAUGGGAGAAAGUGGACUUCUACAAAUC